This 490-nucleotide ribosomal RNA is filed under the name uncultured bacterium. RNAcentral's name for it is "partial 16S ribosomal RNA". It matches the Rfam family "Bacterial small subunit ribosomal RNA", at positions 29 to 507 of the family's 1533-position model. The record is from RNAcentral.
AUUGAACGCUGGCGGCAUGCCUUACACAUGCAAGUCGAACGGCAUCGCGGGAAAGCUUGCUUUCUUGGCGGCGAGUGGCGGACGGGUGAGUAAUACAUCGGAACGUACCGGCUGGUGGGGGAUAACCCGUCGAAAGACGGGCUAAUACCGCAUACCCUCUCCGGAGGAAAGCAGGGGACCUUUGGGCCUUUCGCUAUCCGAGCUGCCGAUGUCCGAUUAGCUAGUUGGUGGGGUAAAGGCCUACCAAGGCGACGAUCGGUAGCGGGUCUGAGAGGACGAUCCGCCACACUGGGACUGAGACACGGCCCAGACUCCUACGGGAGGCAGCAGUGGGGAAUCUUGGACAAUGGGGGCAAGCCUGAUCCAGCAAUGCCGCGUGGAUGAAGAAGGCCUUCGGGUUGUAAAGCCCUUUCGGCAGGGAAGAAAUCGGCGGGGCGAAUAACCCUGCUGGAUGACGGUACCUGCAGAAGAAGCACCGGCUAACUCCGUG